UUGAAACCAGGACGCCAGUUUUGGCGGAGCCAUCCUUGGGAUACCACCCUUGUAGUACUGGGACUCUAACCAUAGGCCAUGAAUCUGGUCUUGGGACACUGUCAGGUGGGCAGUUUGACUGGGGCGGUCGCCUCCCAAAAGGUAACGGAGGCGCUCAAAGGUUCUCUCAGUACGGUCGGAAAUCGUACGUAGAGUGUAAAGGCAAAAGAGAGCUUGAUUGCAAGACAUACAGGUCGAGCAAGGAUGAAAAUCGGACUUAGUGAUCCGGUGGUUCUGCGUGGAAGGGCCAUCGCUCAACGGAUAAAAGCUACCCUGGGGAUAACAGGCUUAUCUCCCCCAAGAGUCCACAUCGACGGGGAGGUUUGGCACCUCGAUGUCGGCUCAUCACAUCCUGGGGCUGUAGUAGGUCCCAAGGGUUGGGCUGUUCGCCCAUUAAAGUGGUACGCGAGCUGGGUUCAGAACGUCGUGAGACAGUUCGGUCCCUAUCCGUCGCAGGCGUAGGAAAUUUGAGAAGACCUGUCCUUAGUACGAGAGGACCGGGAUGGACGUACCUCUGGUGUACCAGUUGUUCUGCCAAGGGCAUGGCUGGGUAGCUAUGUACGGAAUGGAUAAGCGCUGAAAGCAUCUAAGCGCGAAGCCAACUUCAAGAUAAGAUUUCCCACCGCAAGGGUAAGACCCCAGAAAGACUAUCUGGUUGAUAGGUCGAAGGUGUAAGUGCAGCAAUGUAUUUAGCUUAUCGAUACUAAUAGGUCGAGGACUUGACCAA
RNAcentral lists this ribosomal RNA (766 nucleotides) under Clostridioides difficile. RNAcentral describes it as "partial 23S ribosomal RNA". It matches the Rfam family "Bacterial large subunit ribosomal RNA", at positions 2157 to 2925 of the family's 2925-position model. The record is from RNAcentral. Lineage: Bacteria; Bacillati; Bacillota; Clostridia; Peptostreptococcales; Peptostreptococcaceae.